This 479-nucleotide ribosomal RNA is filed under the name uncultured organism. RNAcentral's name for it is "partial 16S ribosomal RNA". It matches the Rfam family "Bacterial small subunit ribosomal RNA", at positions 331 to 801 of the family's 1533-position model. The record is from RNAcentral.
GUACACUCCUACGGGAGGCAGCAGUGGGGAAUAUUGCACAAUGGGCGCAAGCCUGAUGCAGCCAUGCCGCGUGUAUGAAGAAGGCCUUCGGGUUGUAAAGUACUUUCAGCGGGGAGGAAGGCGAUAAGGUUAAUAACCUUGUCGAUUGACGUUACCCGCAGAAGAAGCACCGGCUAACUCCGUGCCAGCAGCCGCGGUAAUACGGAGGGUGCAAGCGUUAAUCGGAAUUACUGGGCGUAAAGCGCACGCAGGCGGUCUGUCAAGUCGGAUGUGAAAUCCCCGGGCUCAACCUGGGAACUGCAUUCGAAACUGGCAGGCUAGAGUCUUGUAGAGGGGGGUAGAAUUCCAGGUGUAGCGGUGAAAUGCGUAGAGAUCUGGAGGAAUACCGGUGGCGAAGGCGGCCCCCUGGACAAAGACUGACGCUCAGGUGCGAAAGCGUGGGGAGCAAACAGGAUUAGAAACCCCUGUAGUCCCAUGAU